UGACUGUCAUGUAUAUGUAGCUCUGUAGUUAAGUGUAUGUCUAUGUAUCUGUUUAUGAGUUUGGCAUGUGCAUAAGAUUGUAAGUGUAACUGUGUGUAUUCAUGUGUGUGAGUGUCUAGAAGUGUGACUAGAUAUUUGUGUGUGCUUGCAUGUGUGAGUGUCUAUGUGUGGCAGUGAAACUGCAGAUGUGUGUGGCUGUAUCUAUAUUUGUGUGUGUGUGCAUGUGUCUGAGUGUGUGUAAGUCCUAAAUAGCACUCACACUAUUUACAGUGGUCUGAAAACACCUCUCUGGGUGCUCCUUUGCACCUGGCCACUGGGGACACUGCCAAGUCAUGAUGCUGGACUUUGCUGACUUUCUUUUCCAUUCUUUCUGUUUUUCAAAUGUUGACCUUUAGACACAUUUCAGGACAGCACAUUCCUGUGGGAAAUCUGUGAGGUGGAAAAUCAAAAUUCUCCUGAUGACUGUUUAUAAAGAAUAACGGCUAGCUCAUGUCUUCAGUGUUUUAUAGAAGUGCUCACAUGUAAUCUAAACAAGAACUCUACAAGAGAGGUAUCCAGAGCCACAUUUUAUAGAUAAGGAAAUUGAGGCUCAGAGAGGACUAGAAAUUUGGCUAAGCUCCUGCAGCUGAGUUGGGGGCUGCAUCUGACAAGUGGCCGUGGUUUCAAGUCUCUGGAGUCCCAUUUUUUUCUCUUCCAUGGAGUUUGUUUGCUGCAGUUUGAGGAGCCGAGGCAUAUGAUAAAUACCAGGUGUCCUUAGAAGAAGAGGAGAUUGGGCCCCAGACACACAUGCACAGAAGAAAGACCACGUGAAGACAGAGGGAGAAGACGGCGAUCUACAAACCAAGGAAACAUCCUCAGAAUGAAACCAACCUUGCCAACCCCUGAUCCUAGACCUCCAGCCUCCACAACGGUCUUUGGACUCAGAUGGAAUUAUACCACGGGGUUUCCUGGGUCUCCAGCAUGCAGAUGGCAGAUUGUGGAACUUCUCAGCCUCCAAAAUCGACAUUGCCCAGUGAUCCUGGGGAUGCCGUUUGGAAGCUGCACACCUUUGACAUCUUUAGGGUCGAAGAGAUGAUGCUCCCCAUGGGGACUGACCAGUGAUCCAUUAGUUUCUUGUGGAGUCUUCGGAGGUCUACGGGGCCUUCCUGGGGUGCACCUCAUUUCCCCCACUCCUGACUUCGCAAUUUACUCCUUUGGAUCUUUCCAGAAACCGUCUUUGGCAGUUCUGAAACAAAGGCCACCUAGUGACCAAACACAAAACAAAAAACACUUGGAAAUCAUCAUUUCUCAAAAAGACUUUUGUUUUGAAAGAGACAAUACUGUCUGCCUGUCCUUGGAAAGCGUCCCUGAUUCAGGGUUUCCCCCUAAAUGGCCAGAAGCAAAACAGCUGGAGCCUGGAGCACAGGAUCAUUUUGACAGCAUUUGAGCACUACCUCUUGUAUCUGAUUUGUGGUAGGGAUCAGGCUGUUCUUAGAGUAGGAACAAAAUGUGCUUUGGGGAGAAUCCAAGUGAAGAAAUACAGAAAAAAGCUGAAGCAGCAGCCAGGGUUACAAGUUUCUCCAUAUCCCCAGUGCCUGGCACAGGGCCUGGCUCUGAGUGGGAGCCCAGGCAGAGCGUGCCCAUCUGAUUCCCAGAUCACUGUGCCCUGGAAACCCUGAUAUUUACCUUCCUGGGGUAUUUGUAUGGAGCAGUCACCCUUUUCACAUGCUCCUGGAGUUCCCGCGUUAGUGCCUCUGGGUCAUGAGAGGAGUAGGCUGGAGUAAGGACUAUAAAUGCCUUUACCACCUGCAGGAAAACAAAAUACCCAGAAAAGAUCAGGCCUCGUAUAACAACUCUUUUCUCCUUAAGUGAGGCUUGAAUAAGUGCCUACAUUUACCUUUGCACCAUGAAAGUUCUACUAGUUUUUUUUGGGCACAGCCAAUGACACAAACAACAUCAAUUUUUCUUUUGCUGGCCCUUCCAGGUGUGACUAUUAGGAGGAUUGACCUUUCUGGGAUGAUUUCAAACUCCUACCUCUUUCUCAAAUUACUCCCCAUACUUGGAAUGACACCAUUUGAAGCCAACAUCGCUUCUCUUAAGAAGCAAAUAUUUUGGAGAAAAGAGGUUCAUAAACUCCUAGGGCCAUUUUCUUCCAGAUUUUCCUAAUGAGAAAGGUAGGUAGGCAUGAGUUUGAACAGGUGGGAUUGAGGAAAAUGCAGGCACUUGCAAGGGGAACUAGGUCUUUGGGGGUCUGCGUGGAUGAACAUUUGCAAUCAGCAGACCCUGAACUGCACCACUUCUGUUCCAGACAUCCCGAGGGACAUUCUGCAUCUUGGGUCUCUCUGCCCACAACUUUCCUGCAGGCUGUCUUAUGCCAGGCAGGAGGAAGUGUCCCAGACUCAAGCACAACAAACAUAGUUUCUGUUAGGAAUGGAAGGUCACUUGGAUGCUUAUUAAUUCCAGCAUUCCUAUCUGUUAACAGUAUUCUAUUAAAGGGGUAGCUCACUGUCCUUGCAUACUUCCCACAGGGAGGAAGGCCACUAUCAUUUCAUGUUCAGACAGAUAUGCUUUUAGAAAGAGCUUCCUCUUACUCUUACUACUGUAACUACGAAACAUUUGUUGGACACUUUUUUUUUUUUUUUUUUUUUUUUAAGACAGAGUCUCACCCUGUCGCCCAGGCUGGAGCUCAGUGAGGUGAUCUCGGCUCACUGCAAGCUCUGCCUCCUGGGUUCACGCCAUUCUCCUGCCUCAGCCUCCCGAGUAGCUGGGAUUAUAGGCGCCCACCGCCACGCCUGGCUAAUUUUUAGUAUUUUUAGUAGAGAUGGGGUUUCACUGUGUUAGCCAGGAUGAUCUCGAUCUCCUGACCUCGUGAUCCACCCGCCUCGGCCUCCCAAAGUGCUGGGAUUACAGACAUGAGCCACCGUGUCCGGCUUAUGUGUUGGGCACUUUCUACACACCAGACUCAGUUCUAAGCACCAUACAUGGAUUAAGUUUGAGCACACAGCCAUUUGUCACAGUCCCAGUUAACUCACGGCAUGCAGAACUAGGCAUACGUUUGAGGUAUGAUUUCUUCAGCACAUCAAUGGGACUCCACACCUCCCUUAUUAUACAUUAAUGGCUUUGGAUUUUAGAGGGGAAUCACUUGGCCAAGAAUGGCUGGCUAAAAUGCAGAUUCUCUGGGCUGCAUUCCCAGUAAUCAUGAUUUGGUAAGUCUGACUUUAGGUCUACAAAUCUAUAUUUUAAACAAGAAUCUCAGAUGAUACAGUUGCAAGCAGUCCAAGAACCAGACUUUGAGAAUCUCUCCUGUGGUCUUGAUGCUUCUGAGAAUGCAGGCUAAUGUUGCACUAACUUUCAAAAGGUAACUGUUGUGCUUUAGGAUUAUGUUGGAUGUAAGCCAGUGAAAAGUACCUAAGUCUGCCUGUUAGCUGAUCUUUCCCAUAAUAUGCAUUCCUCUGGGACCCACAGAAAGAUUUCUCCUAGCCGGGCACGGUGACUCACGCCUGUAAUCCCAGCACUUUGGGAGCCGGGGUGGGUGGAUCACCUAAGGUCAGGAGUUUAAGACCUCCAGCCUGGCCAACAAGGCAAAACCCUGUCUCUACUAAAAAUACAAAAAUUAGCCAGGUGUGGUGACAUGUGCCUGUAAUCCCAGCUACUGGGGGGGGUGCUGGGGCAGGAAGAUCACUUGAACCUGGGAGGCGGAGGUUGCAGUGAGCCAAGAUCAUGCCACUGCACUUCAGCCUGGACAACACAGCAAGACUCCAUCUCAAAAAAAAAAAAGGAUUUCUCCUAUGAAAGCCCAGCUUAUUAAAUUUGGCCCAUCUUUCUGGUAUAUGUAGGUCAUUUUGGAUACAUAUUCUAUCCCUCUUAGGUUACAGCCAUCAGCAACUAUUACUGGUGUGCUUGCUAUGUCCUCAUCUGCAAAUAGAAAAGACUUUUUAUUAGACAGGAUGGAUAACAGAGCCUGCACCUCCCCCAAGAUCUCCUGCCCCAUAGCCAGCCUCUCUGGGAUGUAGUUGUGUCCAUUUAAAAGCAAAGUGUUGGUGUUUUCCCAUUAUGUCCCUUUAGAGAGUAAUUGUAUCUCUAAAGACAUGAAGGCAACGUGUGUCUGAUGGUGGCAUUUCAACUUUGUGGCACAAGGAUGGAGGUGAAAUACAGGACAAUCUGAGCCUUCCUGCUUGUUCUGCUGGGUGCUAAUAGGUACAGAAGCAGGAGGCCAUGUUCUUGGGUGCACUGGUUACCUCUCCCCUGAUGGGGUCUGGGCUGCUGACCACAGCCGACUCCAG
This 4262-nucleotide long non-coding RNA is filed under the name Homo sapiens (human). Its description in RNAcentral is "HSALNT0228571". The record is from RNAcentral. Lineage: Eukaryota; Metazoa; Chordata; Mammalia; Primates; Hominidae.